RNAcentral lists this ribosomal RNA (499 nucleotides) under uncultured bacterium. Its description in RNAcentral is "partial 16S ribosomal RNA". It matches the Rfam family "Bacterial small subunit ribosomal RNA", at positions 28 to 507 of the family's 1533-position model. The record is from RNAcentral.
GACGAACGCUGGCGGCGUGCCUAAUACAUGCCAGUCGAGCGAAGUUUUUCUGGUGCUUGCACUAGAAACACUUAGCGGCGAACGGGUGAGUAACACGUAAAGAACCUGCCUCAUAGACUGGGACAACUAUUGGAAACGAUAGCUAAUACCGGAUAACAGCAUUAACUGCAUGGUUGCUGUUUGAAAGUUGGUUUUGCUAACACUAUGAGAUGGCUUUGCGGUGCAUUAGCUAGUUGGUGGGGUAAAGGCCUACCAAGGCGACGAUGCAUAGCCGACCUGAGAGGGUGAUCGGCCACACUGGGACUGAGACACGGCCCAGACUCCUACGGGAGGCAGCAGUAGGGAAUCUUCCGCAAUGGGCGAAAGCCUGACGGAGCAACGCCGCGUGAGUGAAGAAGGAUUUCGGUUCGUAAAGCUCUGUUGUUAGGGAAGAAUGAUUAUGUAGUAACUAUACAUAGUAGAGACGGUACCUAACCAGAAAGCCACGGCUAACUACGUG